AUGGAUACCCUCAAUAAACAGUAUGGCCAGCCACAUCAGUUAGUGCUGCAGCGCAUAGUGGAAUUGAUGGAUGGACCCAGCAUCAGCACUGGAGAUAUUAAAACUUUUCGAAUGUAUGCUCUGAGGGUGAGAUCUUUGGUGGGCAUGCUGAGACAGCUAGGUAAGCCUGGCAUGGUGGAAUUAAGAUGUGGCUCGCAUGUGUCCAGACUUCUGAGUAAGUUGCCACAUGAUCUGCGUAGCAGUUUCGGAAGAUUUAUUUAUCCAUUAGACGUGAAGAUUCCUACCCACCUUAACUUAGCAGACUGGUUAGAAUAUGAAAUCCAAGUGCAAGAAGAUUCCACAAGGUAUGUAAGCCGUUCGGGCAGAGGAUACUCAACCAGUUUGUCCAGGGAUAUGUCAAGGAGGGUGAAAUCAUUCAACAAAGGGACAGAAGUUCUGCUUGGCACAGAGAAAUUCCCUUCAUCACCACCACAUUCCUCAGCUGUUACUGCUAAGAUCACAAAGGGGAAAGCUUACUGCCCUUAUUGUGAUAACAAUAAACACACUUUGAAUAACUGUGUAAAUUUCUCUCAACUUUCCAAAUCUCAGAGGCAGAAUUGGAUCAAGGGGCACAACCGAUGCUGGCUCUGUGGAUGGGGCCAUAGAUCAUCAGAGUGUAACCUUAAAAUGCUCUGCAAACCAUGCAAUGGUCGUCACUUGCUUGUUCUUCAUGAUGUUAAUGCAUGGAACAAGGAGAAAGUAGUGGAAGGAGAAGAUCCAUGUACUAGCCCUGUCUUGGGGGAGGCUGCAAACAAGGUGUUAUUCAUUGACAAGCCCCCAGGAAGUCGUAAGGUACUGUUAAAGAUAUGUAAAGUCAUUCUAAGAAAUGGAGAUCGAUCGAUGAAUGCUUAUGCCAUUCUGGAUGAUGGCUCCGAAAGAACCAUCUUGUUAAAUACUGCAGCAACCCAGCUGAAACUGAAAGGUAAGCCAGAGGACUUGCCCCUGCGCACCGUCAGACAAGAAUUAAAGGUCAUGCAUGGGAUGGCUGUUUCCUUUAACCUUUCACCAGCCUGCCAGCCAAACAAGAUAUAUCAGAUCAAUGGAGCAUUCACUGCAGCAGAGUUGGGGCUUGGAGUGCACUGUUAUCCCGUCAAGGCUUUACGGAAAAGGUACCGUCAUCUUAAAGGACUUCUCCUCCAAGAAAUUGAAGCUGCUCAUCCAGUUUUGCUCAUAGGAUCUGACUGCCCUCAUUUAAUUACCCCAGUUGAGCCAGUUCGGUUGGGUCCACCAGGGGAGAACUCUCCUUGGAUGGACUAUGCAAGGACCAGUUCAAGCAUUGCAACAUCUUCUUACAGAGCAACAGUGUCUGUUCACAACAAGUUGGUCGGUCACCCUCUGCUAUGUUGCAUGAACAAGUUGAAAGACUCUGGCAACUGGAUGUCCUUCCUUGGAGAGAUGAGAAAAUGA
Long non-coding RNA from Cyprinus carpio carpio, 1446 nucleotides. NCBI's taxonomy places the organism in Eukaryota, Metazoa, Chordata, Actinopteri, Cypriniformes, Cyprinidae. The record is from Ensembl.